Molecule: long non-coding RNA, 1649 nt
Filed under: Homo sapiens (human)
Lineage: Eukaryota; Metazoa; Chordata; Mammalia; Primates; Hominidae
Description: HSALNT0018616
Source: RNAcentral
CGCGCCUGGCUCUCCUCCCCGGGGCGGGGCCUGCGGAGGCCGCCGGGGCGCAGCGCGCUGGGGAGCGGGUUGGGGGCUGCUAGGGCUGCGGGGCGGGAAGGAGGCGGCAGUGUGUGUGUGUGUGUGUGUGUGUGUGUGUGGGCAGGUGUGUGUGUGUGUGUACGUGUGUGCGCGCGCGCCCUGCAGCGGCCGGCCAGCCGGAGGGAAGACCCCGGCGGGAAGACUGCGUCCCGUCCGGCCUUCCCGGGCCUGUCACUUGGGCGGUGGCGUGGGAGCGGCGAGGCUGCUCGGGGGGCAGCCGGGUGGGCCCAGCUCUAGGGGAGAUUCGGGUCAGCCCCUGAGCCCAGCCUCCCGGCUGUGCCUGCUGGAAGCAGACGGAGGGAAGGCCGGGCGUCUUUGGCCCACCGCGCGGCCGCUCCCCUCCCGGGCCAGGCUGAACGGGCGGGCGCAGCCCAGAGGCCCGGGCUCUGCCACCGAUCCGCCUCCAUACUGACCCGAGCUGCGGCGCCUGCAAGAUUAAUGAAGCAUCCGCGAUUCGGUAGAGGCGGCACGGGGAGGAAAGACACAAGAUCGUGCUGCCCCCCUCUCCCCACCCUUCUCAGCCUCCUAGGACCUAAAGGCGUAGGCUGCGUCUGCUGGGCGCGUCCGGAGUGGUCCAGAGAGAUCGCCAUCCACCACUGCAUCCGUCCAGUUCUUUGUGGACCCUCACAGAAGCUCAAUCAAUUUCCCACCCUCUGGAAAAGGGGUGAAGAUGGAAAAUGGAAAAGAACGCCAUCAGAGUGGUGACACUGACGAGAAAAGCCAAUUCAUAAUUUAGUUUAAUGAAAUGAGUUAGUAAUCAACCACUAAUGUCUAGGAAAUUGGCCUUUUUUGAAAACUGGUUUUCCCUUUCUCCACCCCUUUUUUUUUCAAAUUAAAAGACUAGUAUCCCACUGUUGUUGUUUUAAUUUUUAUUGUUUUCAGGGAUGGGGUCUGCUGCCAAGGCUGGAUUCGAACUCCUGAACCCAAGAGAUCCUCCUCAAGGGAUCUUCCCCAUCUCAGCCUCCCAAGUAGCUGGGACUACAGGCCAAUUCCACCGCACCCUGCCUAACAUCACAUUGUUCAGGAACCUCAACUUACAUUCCAUUUUUACAAAAUAUCCAUAUUCUGGUUCAUACUUCUUGGAGCCCAAAUUUUUUGUAGUCUAGCCUCUUGGAAAGGAGCGGUUAAGAAGGGAGGGUAGAUAAAUUGAGAUUUCAAUCAGGGGCAGCCAGCCCCAUCCCUUUCACCACUGGUGACUUGUUUCAUUUCUUCUUUCUUUCCUCAUCUGUAAAGGCAUUGAUAAUGAUCGUUCCUACCUCAUAAGCUUGUGAAAGUAAAAAGAAAAUAAAACGAGGUGGCAAUGCAUGUAAAACACUUUGCAUAGUGCCUGACACAUGGGUGAGAACUCAAUAAAUAGAAGCUAUUGUUUCAGACUUGAUUAUUUUAAACUCAAAUUUGGUAGAAUUUUAUUCUCUUUCCAUUCCUUCUGAAAAGUUAGGGAGGAGAAUGGACACAGCUGAUGGAUUUAUUCAAAUGUAGUCCACUCUUCCCUUGGGUUUUUACGCCCUGCCUGAAACUUUUGCCUGUGGUAAAAUGAAAUAAAUACAUAACUGAGGGGUGUGUGUGUG